This 254-nucleotide ribosomal RNA is filed under the name uncultured bacterium. RNAcentral's name for it is "partial 16S ribosomal RNA". It matches the Rfam family "Bacterial small subunit ribosomal RNA", at positions 524 to 776 of the family's 1533-position model. The record is from RNAcentral.
UACGUAGGGUGCAAGCGUUGUCCGGAAUUAUUGGGCGUAAAGAGCUCGUAGGCGGUGUGUCGCGUCGGCCGUGAAAACCUGCAGCUUAACUGUGGGCUUGCGGUCGAUACGGGCAUCACUGGAGUUCGGCAGGGGAGACUGGAAUUCCUGGUGUAGCAGUGAAAUGCGCAGAGAUCAUGAGGAAGACCAGUGGCGAAGGCGGGUCUCUGGACAGUUCCUGACGCUGAGGCACGAAGGUCAGGGGAGCAAACGGG